Molecule: non-coding RNA, 87 nt
Filed under: human gut metagenome
Also listed under: 1 other name
Description: Glycine riboswitch
Rfam family: Glycine riboswitch aptamer
About the family: This family represents the bacterial glycine riboswitch. Glycine riboswitches usually consist of two metabolite-binding aptamers domains with similar structures in tandem. The aptamers cooperatively bind glycine to regulate the expression of downstream genes.
Source: RNAcentral
UUCUCUGGAGACACCUGUAUCAGACAGGGGCCGAAGGUGCAAACGGCGCGCAGCGUCUUGAAUCUCUCAGGCAAAAGGACAGAGGAU